RNAcentral lists this ribosomal RNA (441 nucleotides) under uncultured bacterium. RNAcentral's name for it is "partial 16S ribosomal RNA". It matches the Rfam family "Bacterial small subunit ribosomal RNA", at positions 338 to 795 of the family's 1533-position model. The record is from RNAcentral.
CCUACGGGUGGCUGCAGUGGGGAAUAUUGCACAAUGGGGGAAACCCUGAUGCAGCGACGCCGCGUGAGCGAGGAAGUAUUUCGGUAUGUAAAGCUCUAUCAGCAGGGACGAAAAAAGACGGUACCUGACUAAGAAGCCCCGGCUAACUACGUGCCAGCAGCCGCGGUAAUACGUAGGGGGCAAGCGUUAUCCGGAUUUACUGGGUGUAAAGGGAGCGUAGACGGCAAGGCAAGCCAGAAGUGAAAGGGCAGGGCUCAACCCUGUAAAUGCUUUUGGAACUGUGGUGCUAGAGUGCAGGAGAGGGAAGGGGGAUUCCGAGGGGAGGCGGGAAAUGCGUAGAUAUUAGGAGGGACAACAGGGGCGGAGGGGGCUUAAUGGACUGUAACUGACGUUGAGGCUCGAAAGCGUGGGGAGCAAACAGGAUUAGAUACCCUGGUAGUC